This 406-nucleotide ribosomal RNA is filed under the name uncultured bacterium. RNAcentral describes it as "partial 16S ribosomal RNA". It matches the Rfam family "Bacterial small subunit ribosomal RNA", at positions 29 to 526 of the family's 1533-position model. The record is from RNAcentral.
AUUGAACGCUGGCGGCAGGCCUAACGCAUGCAAGUCGAACGAGUGGCGGACGGGUGAGGAAUGUCUGGGUAACCGCCUGAUGGAGGGGGCUAACUACUGGUACCGGUAGCUACUACCUCAUACUAUCCGAUGUGCCCAGAGGGGAUAAACUAGUAGGUGGGGUAACGGCUCACCUAGGCGACGCUCCCUAGCUGGUCGGAGAGGAUGACCAGCGACAAUGGAACUGAGACACGGUGCAGACGCCUAAGGGAGGCAGCAGUAGGGAAUCUUGCGCAAUGGGCGCAAGCCUGAUGCAGCCAUGCCGCGUGUAUGAAGAAGGCCUUCGGGUUGUAAAGUACGUUCAGCGGGGAGGCGUUACCCGCAGAAGAAGCGCCGGCUAACUCCGUGCCAGCCGCCGCGGUAAUUC